Molecule: long non-coding RNA, 1208 nt
Organism: Pygocentrus nattereri (red-bellied piranha)
Lineage: Eukaryota; Metazoa; Chordata; Actinopteri; Characiformes; Serrasalmidae
Exons: 2
Source: RefSeq, a predicted model, not a curated record
GUCCAAAGACAUGCAGUCAGGCCUAUUGGACAUGGUAAAUUGCCCCUGGGUGUGAGUGAAUGUGUCUGUGAUGGACUGGCGACCUGUCCAGGGUGUAUCCUGCCUUCUGCCUGAUGACCUCUGGCAUCACCAGACCAGAUGACCACCCCCUGCGACCCUGAAGGAGAAGCGGCUUAGAAGGGUGUAUCCUGCCUUCCGCCCGAUGACUGCUGAGAUAGGCUCCAGCACCCCCCGCGACACUCACGGAGAAGUGGAAAAUGGAUGGAUGGAUGGAUGGAUGGAUGGAUAAAUAUACAUGUCCAGUUUUGUUGUUUCCCAGUUUUUGACAUAAAUUGAAAAUGUCUGUUGUUCUUUACAUUGUGUGUAAAUUUCAUGAUGGUUGGACCAAAAGAAACGACCCAAAAUUGCUUGGAAAAAAAUCUGGUUCCAUUGACUUCCAUUAAAAGUAAAGUAGGUAUUUUCCUUCUUCUGUAAAGUUCCCAUUUUGGAUGUCAGCGGUCUGCAUUCUGGAAGCAGCUUGCUUAUUGGCUCCCUGACACUGAUAAGACUGAAUACUCAUGUACUGAAACCUGGUACUGGUGUCUGCUGUGUCGAUACUCAUUAUUAUUGAAGUAAUCUGAUUGGUACCUCAAAAAUUACUGACUUUCCUGACCCAGCCUUAGGUGUGCCCACUGUCCAGGCAGCGUCCAUCUACUGAUCUCUUCUUGAACAGCUGCUGGAACGCAGUUCUCUGGAUCGUGUUGUUCUGAUUGGCUGGUUUAAAGUCCUGCUGUAGCCUUUAAGCUGUGAUUGGUUAGUUAGUAAUUCUGCCUCUUUUUGGCAUCACUGGUCAGAUAAACAGCCCUCGCCUGACCUUGGAGCGCCUGAAAGAUGGGCUUAGACUUAGCCUUUUCUUUCCGUUUCUAUGGCAACGGGAAUCUUUUUUUUUUUGUCAGGAGGAGCCGAAUUUCCUUUGGAUCGCACUAAAACAGCAGUGGUCGUCUUUUUAUUGGAUUUUUAUGUGUUGCUUUUUCGCUGCAAAGUCACUUUGUCCUUUGGCCAGGAGCCCUUAGCGUGUGGGCCGGACUUAAUGUCCAUUAGUAACUGGACGCCAGCAGGUCAGGAUGUGGUGUAUCAAUCUGAAGGGGAACGUCUGUUUCCAAACUGAACGUGUCUCAGUGUCUCACACUCACUGACUCAAAUAAAUCACUUUAUUUUGGUAUUACAAA